RNAcentral lists this small nuclear RNA (144 nucleotides) under Saimiri boliviensis boliviensis (Bolivian squirrel monkey). RNAcentral describes it as "U1 spliceosomal RNA (ENSSBOG00000009464.1)". It matches the Rfam family "U1 spliceosomal RNA". From Rfam's summary of the family: U1 is a small nuclear RNA (snRNA) component of the spliceosome (involved in pre-mRNA splicing). Its 5' end forms complementary base pairs with the 5' splice junction, thus defining the 5' donor site of an intron. There are significant differences in sequence and secondary structure between metazoan and yeast U1 snRNAs, the latter being much longer (568 nucleotides as compared to 164 nucleotides in human). Lineage: Eukaryota; Metazoa; Chordata; Mammalia; Primates; Cebidae. The record is from Rfam by way of RNAcentral.
AUACUUAACUGGCAGGGGAUAUUUUCCCAGGGUGAGGCUUAUCUGUUGCACUCUGGAUGUGCUGACCCCUGUGAUUUCCCCAAAUGUGGGAAACUCGACUGCAUAAUUUGUGGUAGUGGGGGACUGUGUUCGAGCUUCCCCCCC